AGCUUUGCGCAGUGGCAGUAUUGUAGCCAAUGAGGUUUAUUUGAGGCGCAAUUAUUGCUAAUUGAAAAUUAUUGCUAAUUGAAAAAAAUAUGAGAGUUUAAAAAAAAA
RNAcentral lists this small nuclear RNA (108 nucleotides) under Tupaia belangeri chinensis (Chinese tree shrew). Its description in RNAcentral is "Tupaia chinensis (Chinese tree shrew) U4 spliceosomal RNA". It matches the Rfam family "U4 spliceosomal RNA". Rfam says of the family: U4 small nuclear RNA (U4 snRNA) is a component of the major U2-dependent spliceosome. The record is from Rfam by way of RNAcentral. Lineage: Eukaryota; Metazoa; Chordata; Mammalia; Scandentia; Tupaiidae.